Molecule: ribosomal RNA, 224 nt
Filed under: Salmonella enterica subsp. enterica serovar Lubbock
Lineage: Bacteria; Pseudomonadati; Pseudomonadota; Gammaproteobacteria; Enterobacterales; Enterobacteriaceae
Description: partial 23S ribosomal RNA
Rfam family: Bacterial large subunit ribosomal RNA
Source: RNAcentral
UAAAGAAAGCGUAAUAGCUCACUGGUCGAGUCGGCCUGCGCGGAAGAUGUAACGGGGCUAAACCAUGCACCGAAGCUGCGGCAGCGACACUGUGUGUUGUUGGGUAGGGGAGCGUUCUGUAAGCCUGUGAAGGUGGCCUGUGAGGGUUGCUGGAGGUAUCAGAAGUGCGAAUGCUGACAUAAGUAACGAUAAAGCGGGUGAAAAGCCCGCUCGCCGGAAGACCA